Molecule: non-coding RNA, 335 nt
Organism: Cherax quadricarinatus
Lineage: Eukaryota; Metazoa; Arthropoda; Malacostraca; Decapoda; Parastacidae
Source: RefSeq, a predicted model, not a curated record
GUGUUGGUACUGGUGAUGGGUGGUGGUGAUUGUAGUGAUGAUGGGUGUUGGUACUGGUGAUGGGUGGUGGUGGUUGUAGUAAUGAUGGGUGUUGGUACGGUGAUGGGUGGUGGUGGUUGUAGUGAUGAUGGAUGUUGGUACUGGUGAUGGGUGGUGGUGGUAGUAGUGAUGAUGGAUGUUGGUACUGGUGAUGGGUGGUGGUGGUGGUAGUGAUGAUGGGUGGUGGUGGUGGUGGUGGUGAUGGGUGGUGGUGGUGGUAGUGAUGAAGGAUGUUGGUACUGGUGAUGGGUGGUGGUGGUAGUAGUGAUGAUGGGUGUUGGUAUGGUGGAUGGGUG